Molecule: ribosomal RNA, 246 nt
Filed under: uncultured bacterium
Lineage: Bacteria
Description: partial 16S ribosomal RNA
Rfam family: Bacterial small subunit ribosomal RNA
Source: RNAcentral
UUGGCUCGAGUGGCGAACGGGUGAGUAACACGUGAGUAACCUGCCCUUGACUUUGGGAUAACUUCAGGAAACUGGGGCUAAUACCGGAUAGGAGCUCCUGCUGCAUGGUGGGGUUGGAAAGUUUCGGCGGUUGGGGAUGGACUCGCGGCUUAUCAGCUUGUUGGUGGGGUAGUGGCUUACCAAGGCUUUGACGGGUAGCCGGCCUGAGAGGGUGACCGGCCACAUUGGGACUGAGAUACGGCCCAG